This 1412-nucleotide ribosomal RNA is filed under the name Streptomyces phaeochromogenes. RNAcentral describes it as "16S ribosomal RNA". It matches the Rfam family "Bacterial small subunit ribosomal RNA". Lineage: Bacteria; Bacillati; Actinomycetota; Actinomycetes; Kitasatosporales; Streptomycetaceae. The record is from RNAcentral.
AAGCCCUUCGGGGUGGAUUAGUGGCGAACGGGUGAGUAACACGUGGGCAAUCUGCCCUUCACUCUGGGACAAGCCCUGGAAACGGGGUCUAAUACCGGAUAACACUCGCCGAGGCAUCUCGGUGGGUUGAAAGCUCCGGCGGUGAAGGAUGAGCCCGCGGCCUAUCAGCUUGUUGGUGAGGUAGAAGCUCACCAAGGCGACGACGGGUAGCCGGCCUGAGAGGGCGACCGGCCACACUGGGACUGAGACACGGCCCAGACUCCUACGGGAGGCAGCAGUGGGGAAUAUUGCACAAUGGGCGAAAGCCUGAUGCAGCGACGCCGCGUGAGGGAUGACGGCCUUCGGGUUGUAAACCUCUUUCAGCAGGGAAGAAGCGAAAGUGACGGUACCUGCAGAAGAAGCGCCGGCUAACUACGUGCCAGCAGCCGCGGUAAUACGUAGGGCGCAAGCGUUGUCCGGAAUUAUUGGGCGUAAAGAGCUCGUAGGCGGUCUGUCACGUCGGAUGUGAAAGCCCGGGGCUUAACCCCGGGUCUGCAUUCGAUACGGGCAGACUAGAGUGUGGUAGGGGAGAUCGGAAUUCCUGGUGUAGCGGUGAAAUGCGCAGAUAUCAGGAGGAACACCGGUGGCGAAGGCGGAUCUCUGGGCCAUUACUGACGCUGAGGAGCGAAAGCGUGGGGAGCGAACAGGAUUAGAUACCCUGGUAGUCCACGCCGUAAACGGUGGGAACUAGGUGUUGGCGACAUUCCACGUCGUCGGUGCCGCAGCUAACGCAUUAAGUUCCCCGCCUGGGGAGUACGGCCGCAAGGCUAAAACUCAAAGGAAUUGACGGGGGCCCGCACAAGCAGCGGAGCAUGUGGCUUAAUUCGACGCAACGCGAAGAACCUUACCAAGGCUUGACAUCGCCCGGAAAGCAUCAGAGAUGGUGCCCCCCUUGUGGUCGGGUGACAGGUGGUGCAUGGCUGUCGUCAGCUCGUGUCGUGAGAUGUUGGGUUAAGUCCCGCAACGAGCGCAACCCUUGUUCUGUGUUGCCAGCAUGCCCUUCGGGGUGAUGGGGACUCACAGGAGACUGCCGGGGUCAACUCGGAGGAAGGUGGGGACGACGUCAAGUCAUCAUGCCCCUUAUGUCUUGGGCUGCACACGUGCUACAAUGGCAGGUACAAUGAGCUGCGAUGUCGCAAGGCGGAGCGAAUCUCAAAAAGCCUGUCUCAGUUCGGAUUGGGGUCUGCAACUCGACCCCAUGAAGUCGGAGUUGCUAGUAAUCGCAGAUCAGCAUUGCUGCGGUGAAUACGUUCCCGGGCCUUGUACACACCGCCCGUCACGUCACGAAAGUCGGUAACACCCGAAGCCGGUGGCCCAACCCCCUUGUGGGGAGGGAGCUGUCGAAGGUGGGACUGGCGAUUGGGACGAAGUCG